Molecule: ribosomal RNA, 468 nt
Filed under: uncultured bacterium
Lineage: Bacteria
Description: partial 16S ribosomal RNA
Rfam family: Bacterial small subunit ribosomal RNA
Source: RNAcentral
GACGAACGCUGGCGGCGUGCUUAACACAUGCAAGUCGAACGGAAAGGCCCUGCUUUUGUGGGGGGCUCGAGUGGCGAACGGGUGAGUAACAAGUGAGUAACCUGCCCUUGACUUUGGGAUAACUUCAGGAAACUGGGGCUAAUACCGGAUAGGAGCUCCUGCUGCAUGGUGGGGGUUGGAAAGUUUCGGCGGUUGGGGAUGGACUCGCGGCUUAUCAGCUUGUUGGUGGGGUAGUGGCUUACCAAGGCUUUGACGGGUAGCCGGCCUGAGAGGGUGACCGGCCACAUUGGGACUGAGAUACGGCCCAGACUCCUACGGGAGGCAGCAGUGGGGAAUAUUGCACAAUGGGCGGAAGCCUGAUGCAGCAACGCCGCGUGCGGGAUGACGGCCUUCGGGUUGUAAACCGCUUUCGCCUGUGACGAAGCGUGAGUGACGGUAAUGGGUAAAGAAGCACCGGCUAACUACGUG